CUCAGCUGCCGGCAUUGGCUAGAUUGACCGUCUUUUUUGCACAGCCACCCGUUGCAGCGGCGCGACACGGCUGGACCAGUUUUGUGUGCCCUUUGGCUGCUUAGCCCGCUGCGAUAGGCGUGCCGGCCGGCAGCUGUCGUCUCCCCUGUCACCGGAGUGCUCGCUCUCCCCGCACCACAUGCAUUGCGAGCCGCCAGAGCUCUACACGAUCAUCUUAGUCUUUUGGCACACUUGCUGCGCCCUUUCGGCGCACGCUGCAUCUUGCCCAUCCGAGCCUGGGCAUUGGAGAUUGAUGAGCAGUCGACGACCGGAGAUGCCAGAAGGAGCGGCGAGUGAUAGCGUCUACUCGUUCGGCGAGGUUAACCGACGGUUGUGGCUUCUGCGUUCUAAUUCGUUACCGAAGGGUAGCGCUUGUGAUGAUGCGUUGGUGGACUGGGCUGCGAUACGCGGGUUGCUGGAGGAGGCUCCGGAAGAGCGGAGCGGCGUUUUAUCGCGUUACCUGCUGAGGUGGCUGAACCCAUAUGUUAUGCUUGCGUGGAGGGAGCGGCUGGAGGAGGCGUACAUGCCUCCACCACAGCGGGCGCACCGCGCCGUGUGCUGUGGCGCUCUGCUAAGCCGCGCGUUUCGCGAGGAGGAGGUUCGCGGGGGCCGCGACGCGUGGCGUGCGCGCGUUGAAGCUGCGCUUCCAGUGCAGUGUGGAGCCUGCGAUGACCCCUCGGGGGAAAGUGAAGUGAUUGGCGGCGAUUAUAACGGGCGAUGGGGUGGCGCGCGCGUGGCGGCUAUCAACGAGCUGUCACGUGUGAGGUUCCGUGGUGAGGAGGGUGUCCAUGGACGGCUGCGGUGGGUGGGGUACGUUCGAUCGAGCGACACGCCGCACACGCUUUUGUGCGGUGUGGAGUGGGACGCUGACAGCGCGUUGCCGCCGUAUCGUGCGCGUGUGGCUGGUGAUGCGGCUGAGGAAGUAGUGCACGACGGGUGCGUGCAGGGCGAGCGUCUGUUUUACCAGGUUCAGGAUGGGCGGGCGCGGUGCACGUGCGAGUACGUGCAGGAUCUGGUGCCGGUUUCGACGAUUGGAAUCGCGGAUACUGGGUGCCCGCGUAUGCCUCACGCUCCGUCGCUGCUUUGGGCGCUACUCCGCACGUUUCGCUCCGAUCUAAUGGCGAUACUGCCACCUUCGAUUGCCGGUAUGAUAUGUGAAGUGUCGACACCGUGGUUGCUGCAGCAGUUUGUGCUGUUCCUGCAGUCGAGCAAGGAGCGGGCGGGAGCGAGAAAAGGGCUGCUCUUCUUCUCGAUUCUUGUGAUCGUGAAGUUGGUGCAACCAGCGUUGAUGAACAAGGAGAUGCACCGCAGUCGGCGUGUUUCGAGCCUUUUCCGCACCUCGACACUCGCCCUGAUUUUCGAAAAGUGUCUGACGAUAUCGCCGGAUGCGCUGUCGAGACCGGACAUGAACACUGGUCGUGUGCUAGCGAUGGCGAGCUCUGACGUUGAGAACAUCAAGGAAUUUCCCACGCGGGUGAUGUUCCUGUGGAUGGCGCCGACUAUGCUGACGCUGUACGUUGCCUACCUCUUCGUUCUCGUGGGGCCGAGUGCCCUGGCUGCUGUCCUGGUUUUUGCCGCUUUACUGCCUGUCCAAGGGGGGCUAACGAAUGCUAUGGGCGGCGCACAAGAGAACCUGUCGAGCUGCACGGAUCAGCGCUUGCGUCGCACGAAUGAACUGCUCUCCGGCAUCCGUGUCGUGAAGAUGAUGGGAUGGGAGUCGAAGUUUGUCUCGGCGAUCGAAGAUAACGCACGGGCCGAUGAGUUGCGAUUCCGACGAAGACUGCAGAUGCGUCAAGUCGGGCUGUGGGCAUGCGUGUUCUCUACUCCGACGUUCAUGAUCGCCGCUGUUCUCACUACCUACACCCUCAGCGGACACAAGCUUGACGCAUCCGUGGUGUUCCCUCUCAUCGCAGUUGUCAGUGCUAUAACCUUCCCUGUAAUGAUGCUUCCGGAGGCCUUUACGUCGCUGGCGAAGUUCAUUGUGUCGACGGGGCGCGUCACGCAGUUCUUGGAGUGCGACGACUCGCACAUCAUCGUCGAGCACGCGGAGCGCAUGCUCAACAGCACAGGGAGUGGCGGCGCUGCUUCCGGGGACGCACCGCUGCCGAGUGCCGCUUCGGCCGACCUUGCAAGGGUGCUUGUGUCAGUGCCCGCCGCGCUUCCCGUGUACGAGCCGCGACACGUGGGGCUGCGCCGCGUGGCGCAGAGGAUACUGUGCGCGGUGCUGCGCCGCCGUGUGCCGGUGGAGCUUCAGUGGCGGAGGGCGGCUGCUUCCCCUGCCAUGGGUGAAGGCGGUAGGAAGCCUGCGCGCGUUGCUGUGGGGAACGAUGAUGGCGGUGUGGCUGUUGUGGGUGGUGAGAACGGGCGCGGCAGUGAUAGUGGCGUGGCUCUGUACGCGAUGGUGGACAGGGCUCUCCUGCGCGAUGUGCGCGUGUCGUUCCCGCGCGCGCAGUUGACGGUUGUUGUUGGCGCGACGGGGAGCGGGAAGUCUGUGCUGCUGGCGACGCUUUUGGGUGCGUUCCGGUUCGAGGGGCAUGUGAGCGUAGCGAAGUCGGUAGCUUACGUGCCGCAGCAGCCGUGGAUCAUGCAGGAAACGUUAGAGGCGAACAUCACGUUCUUCGAGGGCGAUCGGCGCGGCGCUGCUGGUGGCGCGGCGGUCGAUAGCAAUAGCGGCUCUGCGCAGGCGUUCUCGCCUCUGAGGUGCGCUGAGCAAGCUGCUGGCGCUGCUGCUGUGCCACGGUGCUUCAGCUGCGGCCGUGACGCGGCGAGCGAGCGUCUUGCGCGCGCUGUGCGGAGCUGCCAGCUGAAUGCUGAUGUGGCACUGAUGGCGCGCGGGCUGGGGACAGAGAUCGGCGAGCGUGGCAUCAACCUGAGCGGUGGGCAGAAGGCGCGCGUGAGCCUUGCGCGCGCCGUGUAUGCGGACCGCGACGUGUACCUGCUGGACGAUCCGCUGUCGGCGCUGGACGCGCACGUUGGGCGGCGCGUGAUGGACGAGGUUGUGCUGCGCGCGUUGGCGGGCAAGACGCGCGUGCUAGCGACGCACCAGCUGCAGGUGCUGCCGCACGCGGACCAGGUCGUGGUGAUGCGCGAGGGCUGCGCCGUGUUUGCGGGCAGCUACGCUGCUUACGCUGCGUCGGAGUGGAAGGCGUACGUGGAGAGCGAGGAGGCCGCCGCCGCGAGCAAGAAGAGCGGGUGUGGCGGUGGUGAUACUGUGGCGGAGUGCACCGAGGCCAGUUCUGCGUGGUCGUCUGCGGUGAACGUGGAGUCGUGUGUGGGCACGCGUGAGGAGCGUGACCACGCUCGGUGUGGCGGUGCCGAUGGCUGUGCCAGCAAAGACGGCGGUGAGUGGGGGGAGAACGAUGGCAGCCCUUUGCCGAGAAUGCACUGGCAGGGCUCAUGGGCCAGCGAGAACUCAGAGGCGGAAGGCUGCAACAAUAGGGACUCUACGGUAUGUAAAGGUGUUAGGCUCGCAAGCAGGUCUAAGGCCGCGCCGCGCACGGCGAAGGGCUCAUCUGGGCUGGCUACGGGUGAGGAUGCAGCGGACGGCGGCGACCUGAUGACUGCGGAGGAGAAGGAGACAGGGCACACACCGUGGAGUGUGUACCGUGCCUACUUUGAGGCGGGCGGGGGCGUCCCGGUCGCAAUUCAAAUUGUGCUGCGCUACUUCGUUAGCGAAGCGCUCUCGACAGGCUCCAGCGUUUGGCUGACGCUGUGGUCAGUGAACUACUUUGGUUCUUCUCUCUCUACCAACGAACAGCUUGGCGUGUAUCUUGGACUCGUCUUUGUGGUUGCUGUCACAGUGUCUGCCAACGACCUGUUUAUUUUUCAGUUCGCUCGCCGCGCUGCCUGCCGCUUGCACGCCAUACUCUUGUACACGGUGAGCUCAGCCACGCUGACGUUUUUUGACCGCACACCACUGGGUCGCAUUGUCAACCGGUUCAGCAGGGACGUGCACGUCCUUGACGAUGAGCUGCCGGCGAACGUGAUUCCCUUUUUGGGCAUUACGGGAUAUGUCAUGACGUCUUUAGCAGUGACGCUAUACACUUCACCGCUUAGUGUGGUCGUGGUGCUGCUAGCGGCUUACGCUUUUGUGCGCCUGCUCAAGUUCUACGCGACAGUGGUGCGUGAGGUGCGACGGCGCAGCAGUGUGGGGCAGUCUCCGUUGCUCUCGCUGCUGGAGGAGGUGGUGCACGGGCGUGCGACGAUCGCUGCAUACGACAAGUCGCACGUGCUAUUCGCGGAGGCGCUCCUGCGGCUGGACCUUGUGUACAGCUGCACCUACGUGGAGAAGGUUAUGACGUUGUGGCUCGCUAUCCGAAUCGAGUACAUUGCGUCAUUGGCCGUUAUUGCUGUGGGGCUGAUCGGCGUUGUGGAGAAGCUGGUAGAGGCGUCGCCGGCGCUGCCGGAGGCGCGCGUGGGCCUGAUCUCGCUGAGCCUCACCAUGUGCCUCGAUCUCAGCUGGUCGCUAUCUGCACUCCUAGACCUUGCUGCCGCUGUCGAGGCGAGCAUGAACAGUGUGCAGCGCGUUUGCCACUACAUUGAUCACGUGCCGCAGGAAGCGGCGCUCCUGGAGCCGCGGGACGCGUAUGUGGCGCGCGCUGUGGCAGCGAGUGGCGGCAGCCGCAGGGGAGGAGGCGAGAGCUCCAGAAGUGCGAGCGACAUCGUUGUGGCUGCCGGCGGUGAUGACGACGAGGCCGCGCCUGCGCGACAGGGUGUUGCGGCAAGGAGCGGCGCGUUUGGCGCGCUGAGGCUGGAGCACGUGGACCUGCGGUACCGGCCAGGGCUGCCGCUGGUGCUGCGCGAUGUCUGCUUUACGAUCGCCCCUGGGCAGAAGGUGGGCGUUGUGGGGCGGACGGGGAGCGGGAAGUCGACGCUGCUGCUGGCCUUCCUGCGGCUGGUGGAGGUAAGCGGCGGUCGCAUGCUCGUCUGCGGGCGCGACGCGCGGACGUACACGCUUCCCGCUCUGCGGCGGCUGUUUUCCAUGAUCCCGCAGGAUCCCGUGCUGUUCGAUGGCACGGUGCGCAGCAACGUGGAUCCGUUCGGCGACGCGACGGACGAGGAGGUGCGUGCCGCGCUGGUGUCUGUGGGGUUUGUGGGGGUGGGCGGCAGCUCAGCUACCUUUCCUACAGCUUCUGGACUGCCGAGCGCUGCAUCUGACAGCAUGCCUGCGCUGGACACUGUGGUGCAGGGGGGCGGGUCGAACUUCAGCGUUGGGCAGCGCCAGCUGCUGUGCUUAGCGCGCGCGCUGCUGAAGAAGGGGAGUGCAUUCAUCCUGAUGGACGAGGCGACGGCGAACGUGGACGCACAGCUGGACCAGACGGUGCAGCGUAUUGUGGCGGAGCAGUUUGGCGCGUACACGGUGGUGACGAUCGCGCACCGUCUGCACACGGUGGCGGCGUACGACGUAGUGCUUGUGAUGGCGCGCGGGCGUGUGGUGGAGAUGGGGCAGCCGCGGGCGCUGCUGGAGCGUCGCGACUCCGUGUUCUACGGUAUGGUAGCGCAGAGCGCAGCGGUGGCUGAUUCCCGUGAGGGCUUGUCGCGGGAGGAUGCCGAGGGUGCGGCCAGUGGUGCGCGUUCGCGUGGCGUCAGUGACGGGGGCGCUGAGCUGGGGGCGGCUGGGCGCGAACACCGCGUGGAGGCCGCGGUCGCGUCGCUCCUGCGUCAGUGCAAGUGACUGCGCAUUUCUGCAAGUCUUCAUUUCAGCGAGGCAAACCUCCCGACCGGUAGUGUGUCCCUUUUUUCCCGCUGCUCUUAUUGCAAUGCCGUGUUGUUCGAUUGCCUCUUGACGGAGGGGUGGAG
RNAcentral lists this unclassified non-coding RNA (5838 nucleotides) under Leishmania donovani. Its description in RNAcentral is "gene:LdHU3.31.2360(CDS-product:pentamidine_resist ance_protein_1)". Lineage: Eukaryota; Euglenozoa; Kinetoplastea; Trypanosomatida; Trypanosomatidae. The record is from RNAcentral.